UGAUGACGUAAGGAUUAGAGAUUCGACUACUUUCACUUAAGUUUCAUGUUACUGGAGUCGGAAACGGUGAAGAAGAAAAAGGCUGAGUGACCGUUAGGAGUGGUUUUAGAGUUAUACUGUCGCUAAAAAGAACAAUCCUCUGACACCAUACAAUCAGAUUGUGAUGAGGACAUUGCUGAUAUGCAGGACAUGAUGGUAUGAUGUCACCAGAUGUAGACCCAAAAGUUUUUGCAUUUCAUCAAGACACAAGACUAAUAUCUGCUACAAAGGACACAAAGUUAAGACAAGACCAUCCGAAUGCUGAGUCACAUACAGUUUCUUUACAGGAUAUUCACGUUUUUCACAGCAAAGAACACACCACCAUUGAAUUGUGAAUAUGUAAAACUGAGGCAGACCAUCUACUUACAAGACACUACUAAAUACGGUAUUGGCAGGAUUCUCAAGUCUACGUGGGCUCUGUAAAGAAUGAAAAGAACUAUUUAUCAAUAUUUUGCAAGAAAAACAUUUCUUUAGUAUCCGCAAAACCCCACACUGAGGUAUCAGCAGAGUUCUACUAACCUCCAAUCAAUUGUGGAUUUAACUUUGGAGUGUGAUGGGACAGAAUAUCUAUAAGAAUACCGGCGCGCCAUCGGCGGGGACACCCGCCGCACCGCUCUUCCCUCUAGCCACGCCAGCAUGUCUUCGCUGGCGCCAGCUCCUCUCUAAGGCGCCUCCUGGUUAUUUAAAGGCGCAGGCGCGCUGACGUAUGACGUCAUCGCGCAAAGGCGCGAAAUUCAAAUAUUAUUUAAAGCCCAGUCUGGCUGUUUGUAAUUGCCUGUGAUAGAACGUUCUAGUGGUUUUUCUGAGCCUUGUGCGUCUGUCUUGAAAAUUCUGAUCUGAUUAUCCGUGUUUGACCCUGCCUGUUCCUGACUACUCU
This is a long non-coding RNA of Xenopus laevis (African clawed frog), 916 nucleotides long. RefSeq lists it as uncharacterized. The record is from RefSeq and is a predicted model, not a curated record. Lineage: Eukaryota; Metazoa; Chordata; Amphibia; Anura; Pipidae. The transcript is spliced from 5 exons.